Molecule: long non-coding RNA, 3892 nt
Organism: Amphiprion ocellaris (clown anemonefish)
Lineage: Eukaryota; Metazoa; Chordata; Actinopteri; Pomacentridae
Exons: 3
Source: RefSeq, a predicted model, not a curated record
UCAAACAAAUGAUGAAAGGAACGACAGAACUGUAUUGUUACAAUAUGGCCUCUGGUAGCUGUUUAUAUCAGGAGACUACUUUUAUUUGUAUUUUUUUAUUUCCAUAUUUUUGGUUAAAAAUGUAUAUAUAUGUACAUAUGUGUGUGUGUGUGUGUGUGUGUGUGUGUGUGUGUGUGUGUGUGUGGUGUGUGUAUAUGUGCACGUGUGUGUUUAGUUAUAUAGCUAAACCUCUUUAUUCAGCAAAUAAGAGUGAGCUUAAAUAAUCUAAUAUUCCAAAAGGCAAGCAAGUAGUUCAUUUUCAAAUGCAAGUAUUUUGAACAUUUUGCAUUGCUGUAUAUGAAUGUUUAUUAUUUUCAUUACUGCUAAGAGCAACCGCAGCAUAAAAACAGCAAACAGCCUCUGCAUUUGAAUGGAGUUUGCAGUUUUGCUUUGCCCGCCCGUGAUUUGCUUGCAAGGCAGGUUUGUUUCAAAUUUAUGGAUGAGGUUACUGAAGUGCACUCAGAGACCUGCAGAAAGCACUGUGAGAAAAUGCAGGAAAAGGAAAAUCUUCAGCUACCUUGAAACCAGUGAGGUAAUCAAUGAAGCACUGGCUUCAAGCAAUCACAGGCAGACUGCCCUUUUUUGUCCUCUCUCUUCCGGCAUCGUUUCUUGAACAGACACAAAAAAAAUUUGAAAUAAUGAAUCCGGCACACAUUUUUAAAAUUUUUAUCUUGAGAUCAAAGCUCAACUCACUUCACGUCCUUAAUAAAUGCAGGUGACGGAAAUUCACAGAGGACCACUGUUCCCUCUAAGCUGCGCGCGUGCGCAAUUGCCCACUGCUGACACGGUCUCCGCACAGAAAAUCUGCGCUGCGCCCCCCCAAAAAAAAAUCCAACCUAAAUUGUAAAUAAAAUAAACACGUAACAAUUCAUUCUGUGCUAUUUUUCAAUGUGAGUCAGUGAGUGACCGGUGACUGGCUGCUGCAGCCAAUGAUGCGAUUCACAUAUGUAUUUACCAUAGACUGUAUAUAAUGGUAUUUACGCAGCUAAUCAACGUCAGGCGUCCUUAUGUGCAGCCACCAUUGUUCUCAUAGAUAUGAAUGAGUAGAUAGGACACGCCCCUUUGAGCUGCGUGCUACAGCGAGGCUAAGCUAGUGGGGGAAAAGUUUCAGUGCAUUCUGUUGAUUUAGACGGCGUGAAAACGGAAACAAGAAGUAUGCCGGCUCACUGUGCUGCAUACAGUUACACACUACGUCGUACGAUUGAGACAAGGAAACUUGGAAUGACUUUUCAUAGGUUUCCCAGAGACUAUGGGUUGAGGAGGAAUUGGAAGUUUGUCGGCUUAGACCUGGUAUCAUUCCAUCAGUGUUAAACUUCCCGGCUCAUCUUGGAAGAGUACGUGCCAGAAAGACCACGACCAAGCAGCCUUGAGAUCUUAGGCAGCGUCUCCCUGAGGUCCCUCUCUAUCUCCCCACACAUCCACCAACCACUGGAACACAUCUCCAAAGUUCUGCCGGGCCAGCUCAACUUCCCCUCAGAAGAAGUGCCGCCACCUGCCAGAUGAAGGAGCCUUUUGAGAGGCAGCUGGCAUCGUGAUUGGACUGUACUUUGGUCUGUUCCAAUCCAGCUUCAGCUCCAGAGAUGGCAGGCGGGACGAGUCAACGGAGGCCUGGUGGACGAAGGCAUGCAGCUGAGUACAAUACAGAAAACAACAGAGAAGGAGUGCAGUGGCCCAGGGCCAGAACAAACAGAGUAGCAUCAUAUGUCUCUUAGAAAACAUCAUAGUAUAGCCUUUGGUAUGAAAAAACGCCAUCAUAUACAUCGUAUAUUGUACAAAUAAAAGUCAAAGCAAAGAGACAUACAUUGUAGAAUUGUAGUAAUUGUGGGCUGACUGAUUUACUGAUUAUCAGUAUUUUAUUUUUUACUGAUUUACGGUAAUAAAUACAUUUAAAAAUGGUGCUACUUUGGCUCUGAACCUUUAUCUACCUGUGGUCGCUCUGUCUUCUGGAGUGAUUUGAUUGGUUAUAUGUAACGAAUAAAACUCCUUUAACUUAACAUCUGUAAACAAAACAAAAACGUAUCAACAAAGUUUUCUGUUAGAAUUUGUGUUCUUCUAAGUUUAACUCCAAGAUUUUAAAUACUUUAAUUUACUGCAAAUGAAUAUCUACUCCAAAUGUCUCAGUAAUAAUCAUUAUCAGCCUUAAAAACCCACAAAACACCCCUCUAUACUCGACCACACUUAGUACAGUCCGGUUCCCCCUUCUAUAAAUCUGCUUGGAAUCUUCCACUUCCUGUUUGUCAAAGUGGCCUUCUACCUGGACAGGUUUUGUUGGAGCUCAUGCAACAAACAUUUUGGGUAACUGCACUUUAAUAUGGAUGGAUGACACUGAAUUAGAGUCUGUUUUAAUGAGACUGAGUUAAGAUGUGUAGCUCUGUCAUUAAAUAGUAAAUUAUUUCUCUGAAUUCACAGAGGAAAGUCUGAAAUGCUUGCUAGGUUAGCGUACCACAUGUUCUUUGGCUCAGCUAAAGCUAACUCUCUCCAACUUCUGGAUCUCUUGAGUUGCUUGUUGUUAAAAUAUCUUGCUAGAGGUGCUGAAGCUCAGAAAGUCUGAGAUGUUUGUUCAAAAUAAGCUCAUUCUCAAGUCUUAUCUGAACUGUCCUCUUUUGUUUGAACUUUCCCUAAACUUAGGAGUUAAUGACAGAGCAGCACAUUCAGGCUCAGUCUCAUUUAUGUAGCGAUUAAACUUCAGUGUCAUUCAUUGACGUUAAAGUGCAGUUUUUCAAAUGUUUGUUGCACAUUCUCCCGACCAAACCAGUCCAGGUGGAAGACGAUGUGAAGAGAAAGCUGCAGAGGAUGAAUAUCACACACUUACAUUGGAAAUUAAUGUCCUUUAAUUAGACAUUGUCAUGCAAAAGUUGGAUUUCCCUUUAAUGAUGUUCAAAUCUUUGUUGAGUGUUUUGUUGAUGUUGGUUUCUAAAUGUUUUUUGACAAUCGGCCCCAAAGAUUAAAACCUUCUACGGCUCACAGGCCGCAACAAUUCACACAUUAUCAACUAUCUUUCUGACUAAACUAAGAUAAAAAGUGAAAAACUGCCUGAUUCCUGCAUCAUGAAUGUAAAUCUUUUUGGUUUUUAUGACAGUAAACUGAAUAUAUUUGGGUUUGACAUUUUAUAAACCAAAACAAGAAAUGAAUUACUGGAGAAAACAAUCAACAGAUUACUGGACAAAGAAAAUGUGUUUUCCAACAUAUAUGGCUGAAUUACUCCAACAUUACAAGAUACAUACAAUUUAAAUUCUAUUUUAUUUAUGUAACGCCAAAUACAGGUCAAAUUGUCUCAAGACGCUUUAUUUUUAUAUUUUUUUGUCAUACUUAAAAUAUGACAAAGUAAGAAAUUUAAACCUCUUGACUAACCCAAUUUAUUAUUUGGUUUUUAAGAGAUUAAUCGACAAUUAAAAUAACUUUCUCCACUAAAACUAAUAAACAUGAGGUCAAAUCGAAGGAACAGUUUUAAAUACUGCAGUCCCACGAUGACAAGAAUAAAGUUUGUCAACAAAAAGUAAAUCUGCUGGUGGAUUCCAUUAAAGUCCUAAUAAAUGAUAAUAAAGUGUGAUACUAAAGGUUUGUGGUGCUAAAAAUGUCAAAGUAAAGAUAUCAGGUUGAACAUGUGGAUGGAGGUUGAUAAAAGUUGAUCUCCCUUCAUUUCUCUGGAGCGACUCCAUGGAUCUUAUGGAUGGUGGUUAAAGACCUGCUCUUCUAGUGGUCUUCCUUCUAGUCGCUGUAAAAGUCAGUCCAUCCUGGCCGACUUCAACACCUCUUCAUGACAACUUGUUCUGCCUCCGACCUGGUGGAAACUCCAGAAACUCGGGAAAACCCGUGGAGACUCGAAGAACUCGUGGAGACUCGAAGAACUCGU